GUGGGGAAUAUUGCACAAUGGGCGCAAGCCUGAUGCAGCAACGCCGCGUGAGGGACGACGGCCUUCGGGUUGUAAACCUCUUUUAGCAGGGAAGAAGCGAAAGUGACGGUACCUGCAGAAAAAGCACCGGCUAACUACGUGCCAGCAGCCGCGGUAAUACGUAGGGUGCAAGCGUUGUCCGGAAUUAUUGGGCGUAAAGAGCUCGUAGGCGGUUUGUCGCGUCUGCUGUGAAAACCCGAGGCUCAACCUCGGGCCUGCAGUGGGUACGGGGAGACUAGAGUGCGGUAGGGGGGAUUGGAAUUCCUGGUGCAGCGGUGGAAUGCGCAGAUAUCAGGAGGAACACCGAUGGCGAAGGCAGAUCUCUGGGCCGUAACUGACGCUGAGGAGCGAAAGCGUGGGGAGCGAACAGGAUUAGAUACCCGAGUAGUCC
RNAcentral lists this ribosomal RNA (430 nucleotides) under uncultured bacterium. RNAcentral's name for it is "partial 16S ribosomal RNA". It matches the Rfam family "Bacterial small subunit ribosomal RNA", at positions 354 to 796 of the family's 1533-position model. The record is from RNAcentral.